RNAcentral lists this ribosomal RNA (185 nucleotides) under uncultured bacterium. RNAcentral describes it as "partial 16S ribosomal RNA". It matches the Rfam family "Bacterial small subunit ribosomal RNA", at positions 1309 to 1500 of the family's 1533-position model. The record is from RNAcentral.
AACCCGACUCCAUGAAGCUGGAUUCGCUAGUAAUCGCGCAUCAGCCACGGCGCGGUGAAUACGUUCCCGGGCCCUUGUACACACCGCCCGUCAAGCCAUGGGAGUCGGGAGUGCCUGAAGUGCGUGAGCGCGAGCAGCGCCCUAGGGCAAAACCGAUGACUGGGGCUAAGUCGUAACAAGGUAGC